GGGAGAUAUUUCACAUGGAGGUUAGUAGCUGCAAAUAUGCAUUAAAACCUUUGAGAGGAUACAAAACACCAGUGGGGAUUAUUAUCAUUAUGGUCAGUGCCAGGAUAAAGGAAAGAGAAAAACCGGUUUUGAGUUCAGCUGAAAUGGGAAGUCUUGCCCUGUCUGGCAUCUUGGAUGGAAGCAGUCUACAUCGAUGUUCACUUGUCAUCCAUGUCCACUUGUCACCACAGUGUCAUCCUUCUCAACUUGAUUUGGAGGUCUCCAGGGUUUGUACAGGACCAAAAGUCAGUUGGAGUCUCCUUUAGCUAUAUGAUACAGAUAUACAAGGUUCACUGCCUUCUGGUUUUGCAGCAGAGUGAGUGGCCAGAGCACUUGGAUUCCAUGAAUUCUAACACAGCCAUAAAAGCAGUAGAUUUUAGAAAAUGUACUUCAUAACGUUACCCAUACUGGCAGGACACAAUCCAGGACGGUAAUCCAGGUUUUAUGGCCCUAUCACUGGCCUCCCUUGUUAAUGCCGAAGUAGAAUGGACCUCAUCCACGUGUGCCACAAUCUUGACAGACCCUGUUGCUACUGCCUUUGCAGCGAGGACGUUUCCCUGAUACUCAAGUUCAGUCCUUUUAGUGUGAGCCUCAAUUUUGGGGGCAGACAGCAUCAUGCCAGGACAUAAUCAGACUUUACAGGAAUUUCAUUCAGUUUCUGGAAUACUUCAGUAGAUAGGGAAACAAUGGAAACAGUGAGAGACUUUAUUUUGGAGGGCCCCAAAAUCACUGCAGAUGGUGACUGCAGCCAUGAAAUUAAAACGUUUGCUCCUUGGAAGAAAAUUUCUGACCAACCUAGACAGCAUAUUAAAAAACAGAGACAUCAAUUGCCAACAAAGGUCCAUCUAGUCAUAGCUAUGGUUUUCCCAGUAGUCAUGUAUGGAUGUGAGAGUUAGACUAUAAAGAAAGCUGAGUGCCGAAGAAUUGAUGCUGUUGAACUGUGGUUAGAGAAGACUCUUGAGAGUCCCUUGGACUGCAAGGAGAUCCAACCAGUCCAUCCUAAAGGAAAUCAGUCCUGGGUGUUCACUGGAAGGACUGAUGCUGAAGCUGAAACUCCAGUACUUUGGCCACCUGAUGCGAAGAACUGACUCAUUUGAAAAACCCUGAUGCUGAGUAAGAUUGAAGGCAGAAGGAGAAGGGGACGACAGGAUGAGAUGGUUGGAUGGCAUCACUGACUCGAUGGACAUGAGUUUAAGCAAGCUCCAGGAGUUGGUGAUGGACAGGGAAGUCUGGUGUGCUGCAGUCCAUGGGGUCACAGAGUCAGACACGACUGAGUGACUGAACUGUACCAUAUCUAUACAGAUAUAAGAUAAACAAGGCUUAAUGUUACUUAGCUAUGUAAUUUAACAUUUCAUGUAAGCCUGAAUUAGUAUAACAUCUCCCUUUUUAUGAGGUGAGAGAAUAAAUUAUAGGAGCUUUUUCAGGGGCCCCCUGAGAAAUCUCAAAUAUAACUAGAGAUUAAAAGAACUUUAUAUAGCAUUUGAUUUGGGGAAGCUGUCUGAUUAACAAAAGUUUGUACACUUGACUAAAUAGAACCACAGAUCAUUGUGAAACAAUACUUAAUUAUCUAUUUGGCCAAAGUAGUAAUAAAACAUCCCUUUAUCAGAUGAAAUCAAGUUUAGUUUUAUGUAACUAUACUACUAAUAUUGAGCAUAAUUUAAAAACCUUUAUAGUUCAGUUUUAGCCAAUUUGUUUAUACAAGGGAAGAUUCUCUCUUACUCUCUUCUGAAAUAAUCAGAAGAUCUAAUUUAGACAAAAUUACUCUCAUUUCCUUCAACAAAGAUGCAUCUUUAUUCCUCAAACUUCUCCUUAAACAAAAAUACAUCAUGGUGUCCUUACAUACAGAGCUGAACUCUUCUAGUUGUCUUAAUUACAUGCAUUAAUUAUAAUUUUUUAUAUAAUUUUUAACCCUUGGAAACUUUAAUUUUUAGAAUCAUGUGCUUCUUUUUCUUUAGAUUUUCUGUAGUAGGUAGCCGAAAGUAGUUGAAUGUGUAUUUUGUAAUUAAAGUAUCAGUAUUUUAUUCCAUUUGGAAAUGAUCCAGAUAUUCAGUAAACCUCUGUUAUUUAACCUAUGAAAUCCUUAAAGUUUCUAGUUACCAAAGAGAUUUGGGAAAAUAUUUUAAGGACACCUAAAAUAUAAUUACUGCUAAAGAGUUCACCUAAAACCUUUUAAUCUUACAUCUAUUACUUGCUUCCAACAGUCAUACUUCAAUUACUUUCCUGUUGACAAAAAUUUUAACAGAGACAACAUGAAUCUACCUGAUCAGUUACUCCAGGUAAAAUAAAAAGUUUUAUACUUGAUGCUGCUUACACUACAAACAUGCCUGUUUUAAUUACACCAGUGAAUUUAAACUAGCUUUUAUUUAUCUUAGAUCACACAAACCUGGAAUGCACCUAGGGUUAGUUUUUAUUAAUAUAUUUCUGAGUUUUCGAUUAUCCGGUCUUUAUUUUAGCUAUAUGUAAAUUAUAUAUUAUUAUACAUAUGUAUAUAUACAUACUCACAAUAAACUGUGGAAAAUUCUGAAGGGGAUGGGAAUACCAGACCACCUGACUUGUCUCUCCAGAAACC
Dama dama (fallow deer) is the source of this 2608-nucleotide long non-coding RNA. RefSeq lists it as uncharacterized. The record is from RefSeq and is a predicted model, not a curated record. Lineage: Eukaryota; Metazoa; Chordata; Mammalia; Artiodactyla; Cervidae. The transcript is spliced from 3 exons.